CGACACCUGUUGGAGUGCACUA
RNAcentral lists this microRNA (22 nucleotides) under Tribolium castaneum (red flour beetle). RNAcentral's name for it is "tca-miR-305-3p". Its record names the gene tca-miR-305-3p. The record is from miRBase by way of RNAcentral. Lineage: Eukaryota; Metazoa; Arthropoda; Insecta; Coleoptera; Tenebrionidae.